Alligator mississippiensis (American alligator) is the source of this 1235-nucleotide long non-coding RNA. RefSeq lists it as uncharacterized. The transcript is spliced from 3 exons. NCBI's taxonomy places the organism in Eukaryota, Metazoa, Chordata, Crocodylia, Alligatoridae. The record is from RefSeq and is a predicted model, not a curated record.
UCGCUAAGGAGAAGUUAAUGGUUACAAGUUAAAAGAUCAUUUAGGUUGCAAAGUCAAGCAUUUGGAAAUGAGAAAAAUACCAGAAUUUAUGUCAUCUGUGUGUUCCCCACCGCUCAACAGAUAUCAAAUGGGACAGAGAUUUGCCUUACUAAUAGAUGCUAAACCUGUCAACACAUCUCCUCUGCUACAACCAUGAACAUACCCCACAACAAACCCAUCAGAAUUCUACACCUGCCUUUCCCUAAACAUGAUAUAGCAGAUCUAAUGCACCAAAUGUUCUUGUGAUCAUCAACAAUCCCUUGCAGUGGAGGAUGAUUGCCUUCCAUAUAACAGCUUUACCUGAAGAUGGCUGACAAGGUCAAUCCAGGAUCAACAGACUCUGUUGCAACUCAGGCAUCCAAAUGUUUUUCUUGCACAUUUGAGGAGAUGUUGGAUUUCUUCAUCAAUGUCAGCCUUCUGCAAGAGAUGGCUUCCAAGUUUAGCUCCACUCUGGAAGCUUCUUGGUGGUCAGACGUAGCAUCACAGUAAGGAAUAUCAUGAAGUGUUGGAGCUAUGAUGCAGCCUUGCUUAAUUCCCAGCUUAACCUCAAAGGGAUCUGUUAGAGAACCACAACUUGCAUACCAUCAUGGAGCAGGCAAAAAAUGAAGAUGAAUUUCGGUGGACAUCCGCACCUCAGAAGGAUCCUCCAUAUCGCUUCUCUGUUGACUGGGUUGAAGGGCGCGUCCACACAUGCAAGCAUGUGCACUUGCAGCAGCUCAAAUAGAAGCGGUACAAAUUUGAGCCAGGGCUUUUUUCCUCAGCGCACGUGCUCAGGCAUGCACUUUGUUGUGGAGCAAAUUGUGCCACCUGGGGCAAAAUAACCCUGCCUGGCUCCUCCCAGAUCUGCAGCCAGGGGGAGCUGGAGCCUGGGGCCAGCACCUGUGCUGUCCCCAUCAGUACAAAAAGCUGCCCUGGCAAAUAGCUCGGUGCUACUCGCUCUCAGGAGCUUCUGGGGCCCAGUCAAUUGGUGCCUGGGGACAAUACCCAUUGUGCCAGCUGGACUGCUGCAGCAGCAUCUGAAAUCCAUUUUUAAAAAUACCACAAAAUCUAUGUUCCACAGUUAAAGCAAAAAAACACUCUCUUUCUCUCUGUGGGGAGAGAGAGAGAGAGAGAGAGAGAGAGAGAGAGAGAGAGAGAGAGAGAGAGAUCAGUUGAGUAAUGUUUUAUUGGUAUAUUUACAAUGUUAAAGCAAUUUG